This 460-nucleotide ribosomal RNA is filed under the name Bacillus cereus. RNAcentral describes it as "bacterial SSU rRNA". It matches the Rfam family "Bacterial small subunit ribosomal RNA", at positions 31 to 471 of the family's 1533-position model. The record is from RNAcentral. Lineage: Bacteria; Bacillati; Bacillota; Bacilli; Caryophanales; Bacillaceae.
GAACGCUGGCGGCGUGCCUAAUACAUGCAAGUCGAGCGAAUGGAUUAAGAGCUUGCUCUUAUGAAGUUAGCGGCGGACGGGUGAGUAACACGUGGGUAACCUGCCCAUAAGACUGGGAUAACUCCGGGAAACCGGGGCUAAUACCGGAUAACAUUUUGAACCGCAUGGUUCGAAAUUGAAAGGCGGCUUCGGCUGUCACUUAUGGAUGGACCCGCGUCGCAUUAGCUAGUUGGUGAGGUAACGGCUCACCAAGGCAACGAUGCGUAGCCGACCUGAGAGGGUGAUCGGCCACACUGGGACUGAGACACGGCCCAGACUCCUACGGGAGGCAGCAGUAGGGAAUCUUCCGCAAUGGACGAAAGUCUGACGGAGCAACGCCGCGUGAGUGAUGAAGGCUUUCGGGUCGUAAAACUCUGUUGUUAGGGAAGAACAAGUGCUAGUUGAAUAAGCUGGCACCUUG